RNAcentral lists this long non-coding RNA (329 nucleotides) under Homo sapiens (human). Its description in RNAcentral is "HSALNT0293012". The record is from RNAcentral. Lineage: Eukaryota; Metazoa; Chordata; Mammalia; Primates; Hominidae.
CCUUCAAGUCCAGUUCUUUGAAAGUCCAAAUUUGCUCUGAACUGACUUCAAGCAAGUGCCCACUCUUGAACAAAUUACUGAGGCUGGAGGAUAAAGACACAAAUUGGCCAAACUUGGAUUACCUGCCUUCUGCAUCUUAAAGGAGUCAGUCCCAACUACAAAUUUAAGAGGAUCACAGAAACACCCACAAACUUACGAGGAUCACAGAAAACACCCCUACACCAACUUAUAGCCAAUCUAUUCAACCUGCAUUGUUAGCAGGUCACCUCUCCUGGAUCUCUGCCUGUAGUGCCCAAUUAAGAAUGGAAGGUAAGCAUUUGUUUUUAUCC